Molecule: ribosomal RNA, 714 nt
Filed under: Curtobacterium sp. GICR11
Lineage: Bacteria; Bacillati; Actinomycetota; Actinomycetes; Micrococcales; Microbacteriaceae
Description: bacterial SSU rRNA
Rfam family: Bacterial small subunit ribosomal RNA
Source: RNAcentral
CGAACGAUGAUGCCCAGCUUGCUGGGUGGAUUAGUGGCGAACGGGUGAGUAACACGUGAGUAACCUGCCCCUGACUCUGGGAUAAGCGUUGGAAACGACGUCUAAUACUGGAUAUGACUGCCGGCCGCAUGGUCUGGUGGUGGAAAGAUUUUUUGGUUGGGGAUGGACUCGCGGCCUAUCAGCUUGUUGGUGAGGUAAUGGCUCACCAAGGCGACGACGGGUAGCCGGCCUGAGAGGGUGACCGGCCACACUGGGACUGAGACACGGCCCAGACUCCUACGGGAGGCAGCAGUGGGGAAUAUUGCACAAUGGGCGAAAGCCUGAUGCAGCAACGCCGCGUGAGGGAUGACGGCCUUCGGGUUGUAAACCUCUUUUAGUAGGGAAGAAGCGAAAGUGACGGUACCUGCAGAAAAAGCACCGGCUAACUACGUGCCAGCAGCCGCGGUAAUACGUAGGGUGCAAGCGUUGUCCGGAAUUAUUGGGCGUAAAGAGCUCGUAGGCGGUUUGUCGCGUCUGCUGUGAAAUCCCGAGGCUCAACCUCGGGCUUGCAGUGGGUACGGGCAGACUAAAGUGCGGUAGGGGAAGAUUGGAAUUCCUGGUGUAGCGGUGGAAUGCGCAGAUAUCAGGAGGAACACCGAAUGGCGAAGGCAGAUCUCUGGGCCGUAACUGACGCUGAGGAGCGAAAGCGUGGGGAGCGAACAGGAAUUAGAUACC